ACAGUGUUAGCUCAGUGACAGU
This 22-nucleotide microRNA is filed under the name Equus caballus (horse). RNAcentral describes it as "eca-miR-9004". The record is from miRBase by way of RNAcentral. Lineage: Eukaryota; Metazoa; Chordata; Mammalia; Perissodactyla; Equidae.